This 86-nucleotide transfer RNA is filed under the name Chloroflexota bacterium. RNAcentral's name for it is "Chloroflexi bacterium (marine sediment metagenome) tRNA-Leu". It matches the Rfam family "tRNA". Rfam says of the family: Transfer RNA (tRNA) molecules are approximately 80 nucleotides in length. Their secondary structure includes four short double-helical elements and three loops (D, anti-codon, and T loops). Further hydrogen bonds mediate the characteristic L-shaped molecular structure. tRNAs have two regions of fundamental functional importance: the anti-codon, which is responsible for specific mRNA codon recognition, and the 3' end, to which the tRNAs corresponding amino acid is attached (by aminoacyl-tRNA synthetases). tRNAs cope with the degeneracy of the genetic code in two manners: having more than one tRNA (with a specific anti-codon) for a particular amino acid; and 'wobble' base-pairing, i.e. permitting non-standard base-pairing at the 3rd anti-codon position. The record is from RNAcentral. Lineage: Bacteria; Bacillati; Chloroflexota.
GCCGAAGUGGCGGAACGGCAGACGCGCUGCGUUCAGAGCGCAGUACUCGAAAGGGUGUGUGGGUUCAAAUCCCUCCUUCGGCACCA